RNAcentral lists this ribosomal RNA (452 nucleotides) under uncultured bacterium. RNAcentral describes it as "bacterial SSU rRNA". It matches the Rfam family "Bacterial small subunit ribosomal RNA", at positions 330 to 794 of the family's 1533-position model. The record is from RNAcentral.
CCCAGACUCCUACGGGAGGCAGCAGUGGGGAAUAUUGCACAAUGGGCGAAAGCCUGAUGCAGCAACGCCGCGUGAGCGAAGAAGGUCUUCGGAUUGUAAAGCUCUGUCCUAGGGGAAGAAGAAAAUGACGGUACCCUUGGAGGAAGCCCCGGCUAACUACGUGCCAGCAGCCGCGGUCAUACGUAGGGUCCAAGCAUUAUCCGGAGUGACUGGGUGUAAAGAGUUGCGUAGGUGGCAUAAUAAGUAACUAGUGAAAUCUGGUGGCUCAACCAUUCAGACUAUUAGUUAAACUGUUAAGCUCGAGACCGUUAGGGGUAACUGGAAUUUCUAGUGUAGGAGUGAAAUCCGUAGAUAUUAGAAGGAACACCGAUAGCGUAGGCAGGUUACUGGGACGGUUCUGACACUAAGGCACGAAAGCGUAGGGAGCAAACGGGAUUAGAUACCCGGGUAAA